GGUUUCUUGUGUAAUAAAUAAGAAAUCUGGCCUGCCCACUGAACUUGUUUUAAAGGGCCGCAGUAAUUUGACUGUGCAAAGGUAGCAUAAUCAAUAGUCUUUUAAUUUAGGGCUUGCAUGAAUGGUUGGACGAGGUAAAAUCUGUUUUAUUUUAAAAUUGUUGAAUUUAAAUUUUAAGUAAAAAGACUUAAAUAAUGUUAAGGGACGAGAAGACCCUAUAGAAUUUAAUAUAUAAAGUGAUUAAUUAAGUUAAUGGAAAAUUUUAAAUUAUUAUAUAAUAUAUUUAAUUGGGGUGAUAGGAAAAUAAAAUAAACUUUUCUUUAAAUUAAAUGCUAUGUUUAGUAAAAUGAUCCAUGAUAAAUGAUUAAAAGAUUAAAUUACCUUAGGGAUAACAGCAUUAUUCUUUUUGAGAGUUCAUAUUGAAAAAAGAGAUUGUGACCUCGAUGUUGGAUUAAGAUUAUUUUUGGAUGUAGAUGUUCAAUAAAUAGGUCUGUUCGACCUUUAAUAUCUUACA
This 514-nucleotide ribosomal RNA is filed under the name Deroplatys desiccata. RNAcentral's name for it is "partial 16S ribosomal RNA". It matches the Rfam family "Bacterial large subunit ribosomal RNA", at positions 1832 to 2600 of the family's 2925-position model. Lineage: Eukaryota; Metazoa; Arthropoda; Insecta; Mantodea; Mantidae. The record is from RNAcentral.